RNAcentral lists this ribosomal RNA (253 nucleotides) under uncultured bacterium. Its description in RNAcentral is "partial 16S ribosomal RNA". It matches the Rfam family "Bacterial small subunit ribosomal RNA", at positions 524 to 776 of the family's 1533-position model. The record is from RNAcentral.
UACAGAGGUCCCAAGCGUUGUUCGGAUUCAUUGGGCGUAAAGGGUGCGUAGGUGGCGAGGUUAGUCAGGUGUGAAAUCUCGGGGCUCAACCCCGAAACUGCACUUGAUACUGCCUUGCUAGAGUACUGGAGAGGAGAUUGGAAUUUACGGUGUAGCAGUGAAAUGCGUAGAUAUCGUAAGGAAGACCAGUGGCGAAGGCGAAUCUCUGGACAGUUACUGACACUGAGGCACGAAGGCCAGGGGAGCAAACGGG